RNAcentral lists this long non-coding RNA (1399 nucleotides) under Pan troglodytes (chimpanzee). Its description in RNAcentral is "long non-coding RNA NONPTRT015667". Lineage: Eukaryota; Metazoa; Chordata; Mammalia; Primates; Hominidae. The record is from RNAcentral.
GGCUUUCAUAUGUAUAUUUUGUUAUUCAUAAUUAGUUCUACAGUUUUCUUAGCAUUUUUCUUUUUCUCCCAUCCAACAGGCUGUGUGGUUCCGGGUGCUGGUGCCGUGGAAGUGGCAAUGGCAGAAGCCCUGAAUAAAUAUAAGCUCAGUAUAAAGGGCAAGGCACAGCUUGGAGUCCAAGCAUUUGCUGAUGUGUUGCUCGUUAUUCCCAAGGUGAGCCCGUGGUAGCAGCAGAAGCAGGCAUUAUGGGAUAACGAUUGUGUAAAGAAACAGCUUCUACAUUCCUGCACUGAUUGCCACCAACAUUCUCUUGGUUGAUGAGAUCAUGCGAGCUGGAAUGUCUUCUCUGAAAGGUUGAAUUGAAGCUUCCUCUGUAUCUGAGUCUUGAAGACUCUGCAAAGUGAUCCUGAAGAAUACAGCUGUGGAAUUUUUGUCCAAGCUUCAAAUGAGUUUCAAGGGAAUUUUCCCAUGUGAAAAAAGGAGAGAACACUGGCAUCUGUUGAAAUUUGGAAGUUCUGAAAUUAUAAUUACAGUGUUUUUUAAAAAUUGCACUGAAGUAUACACACAUAAAGCAGGUCUUUCACCCAGUGAACAGGAUGUUUUGCUUUAGCAGCAGUGACAUAAAAUUCCAUGUUAAAUAAGCAUAUAUUACCUACCUUAUUAAAUAUUCCUUGAAAAAGCAGAUUUUAAUGGUUUAAUUUUAUGUGGACAUAUGUUAAAUUAUUCAGCAGUACCCUAUUGUUAAGCAUCUGGUUUUAAAAUUUUUAUGCUAAUAUAAAUAACGCUUAGUAAUUUAAAAUUUUGGAAGCAUCCCGUUAGUGUAAAUUUCUGAGUAAAUUUAUUGAUCAGUUGGACUUUUCACGCUUUUGAAAUAGCUUUGCUAAAAUGCUCCCCCUACAAAGUUGUAGGAAAUGGGAAGAGGAGUAAACUAGAGGCAAGGGAGUUGAGAGAGCUGGAAGGCAUGGUGGCUAAGGGCUACGGUUAUCAGGUGAAAUUUGAGAUUUGUAGGCUGACUAUAUUUUCAAGCUUCUGAACUUUUGCUUAUGCAAAAUAUUCAUCCCAAAGCCUCUAGCGUCAUAGUUUCCUCACCCAAAUUACUAUGUUUCCACAAGAUUUAUAUAGUUGGUCUAUCUCUGCGGUCCUUGAAAGUAAAGUUGGUGUUACUAGGCUGUGGGUUUUGGGGGCUCAGCAGUGACCUGGAGUGUGCAAAUAAAUAUUAAGUUGAAACCUCCUUUGUGGUCUUGCAAUGGUUUGACGCACAGAAGCAAUCUUAAAGGGAAUGAAAGCUGUCCAAAGGUUCAAAAAGUAGUGAAGGGGCCUCUAGGGACCCUCAACCUGCUUUUCCUUACUUCCCUGGGCAGCCCUGCAGGUGGUAUGGCCAGUCCUACACCUCGCGUCC